CCAGCUUUUACGGAGGAGGCAUGGGAAAAGGACUGCCGUUCCACCCGUGGUGGUAGGGGGCCCCACGAUCCGCUUGGAAGCGCCGCCAUUUUGAGCCCCCACAACCUCAGCCUGAGAUGCCACCGUCGGGAUGGAGAAGUGCUGGAGAGAAGCGUCUCCCUUGAGCAACACUGGUCUAAACCCUCUUGGCUUUGCUCUCUUAGCUACCUGAGGGGGGUUUUGGGACAUUGGUGUGCAUUUUAUUCCUCUCCCGUUUUCUUACAAAGACGCAUUGGAAAAGGGAGGGGCUUUAUUACAUAUAUAAUAUACUUAUACAUAAAUAUAAAUACCUACAUACAUAUCUAGCUAUUGUAUAUGCAGUUUUAAUUCAAUUUUUAAAGAAAUACCCAGCUGCAUUUUAACAAGGACGGGGAUUAAAAAAAAAUUAUACCAACAGCAAUAAGAUAUCGAUGUCUAUGGAGCAGCUAAGAAUGAUUAAUAAUAAUAAUAAUAAUCUGCUUUUUCAAACAGAACUACCCAAUGUAAAAUUUAAAAAAAACCCAUAAAAACACUGUAAAUACUUCUUCUAUAGCUGUAUAAUAAGUGUAUAUGGAGUUUACUUUCUGAGGUCCUUUCUUCUUCUUCUUACUGAGCUGUUUUGUGUUACAACUUACGCUUUGAAAUGAAGAAAGGUUGAAAUUCGUUAGGGAAUAAAGCCCCAUCGCUGAGGAAUACAAAUUUAUUUUGGGAUUUCAAUGGGGGUUAAAAUCUUUUAGAAGAAACAAAAGAAUUCCGGUUUCAACGGAGGGACUCAAAACUGCAAUUUCUGAAUAGAUUUUAAAAUCGCCUGAGCGCAUUUUCGCCUCAGUCCCGCCACUGCUGCUAACCAAUUUGAUGACUUCCCUAUUUUAGACUUAUUUUUACUGUAAUUCAAUGUGCUUGCUUGUUUACAGAUGCCUGAGUGAGAGAAAAAGAGGGGAAAAGAGAAUGAUAACCCUUCACCCCUCUCUCUCCCUUUUUUUCCCACCUGGAAACAGAGAAAUAUUGUAACAUAAAGGGACUUUUAUUAAAGUAUGUAUAAAAAAAUAGCUAUGCUUAUAAAUACAUCUCAGUGACUGAAUGUACAGUUGUAUAGAACUCAUUAUCGCUAAUAAAAUUGUCCGGAAAAAUAAGUCCAAGCCCAGUAAAAAAGUAUGUUAUUUUACUAUUAAAAGAAAGUUUGCAUAAUCUCACCAAUCGCGUAUCCAUGUGGUUCAGAAAAACCAAUUGGGGGGCAUAAAUUGGAAUCGACAAUAAAUGGGUGUUUCUUGACUUUGGAAGACUAUCAAGGUAGUCCUCGACUUACUUUAGUGACCAUUCAAACUUAACAACGG
This 1352-nucleotide long non-coding RNA is filed under the name Naja naja (Indian cobra). RNAcentral describes it as "lncRNA (ENSNNAG00000010236.1)". Lineage: Eukaryota; Metazoa; Chordata; Lepidosauria; Squamata; Elapidae. The record is from RNAcentral.